RNAcentral lists this transfer RNA (85 nucleotides) under Felis catus (domestic cat). It matches the Rfam family "tRNA". From Rfam's summary of the family: Transfer RNA (tRNA) molecules are approximately 80 nucleotides in length. Their secondary structure includes four short double-helical elements and three loops (D, anti-codon, and T loops). The record is from Rfam by way of RNAcentral. Lineage: Eukaryota; Metazoa; Chordata; Mammalia; Carnivora; Felidae.
GCCUGGGUGGCUCAGUCGGUUGAGCAUCUGGCUUUGGCUCAGGUCAUGGUCUCACGGUUUGUGAGUUCGAGCCCCGCAUUGGGCU